RNAcentral lists this ribosomal RNA (520 nucleotides) under uncultured bacterium. RNAcentral's name for it is "bacterial SSU rRNA". It matches the Rfam family "Bacterial small subunit ribosomal RNA", at positions 27 to 518 of the family's 1533-position model. The record is from RNAcentral.
GGACGAACGCUGGCGGCGUGCCUAAUACAUGCAAGUCGAACGGUCUUUUCUAUGGAAGCUUGCUUCCACUGAGAAGAUAGUGGCGAACGGGUGAGUAACACGUGGGUAACCUGCCCAUAAGAGGGGGGAUAACAUCCGGAAACGGGUGCUAAUACCGCAUAGUUUUCUUGAUCGCAUGAUCGGGAAAGGAAAGACGGCCUUUGUGCUGUCGCUUAUGGAUGGACCCGCGGCGUAUUAGUUAGUUGGUGAGGUAACGGCUCACCAAGACGAUGAUACGUAGCCGACCUGAGAGGGUGAUCGGCCACAUUGGGACUGAGACACGGCCCAGACUCCUACGGGAGGCAGCAGUAGGGAAUCUUCCGCAAUGGACGAAAGUCUGACGGAGCAACGCCGCGUGAGUGAAAGAAGGUUUUCGGAUCGUAAAACUCUGUUGUCAGAGAAGAACAAGUUGGAGAGUAACUGCUCCAGCCUUGACGGUAUCUGACCAGAAAGCCACGGCUAACUACGUGCCAGCCGCCGC